GGAGCGAGGACGGAUCUGGAAGAAGCGAAGUCAUCGGCAUCAUGAACAUCGCUACAAAGAGGAUGGCUUCGAUGGACGAAGGAGGAGGUUGCUUGCGAUGACCUCCACGAUAGAGAUGAAAGCCUCCUCCCGGCUACCCUCAGCAUCUUCCUCUCUUCCUCCUCAAGCAGGUGUUGUGGCAAUGGCUAGGUAUCGGACUGGUUUAG
RNAcentral lists this unclassified non-coding RNA (206 nucleotides) under Hevea brasiliensis (rubber tree). The record is from RNAcentral. Lineage: Eukaryota; Viridiplantae; Streptophyta; Magnoliopsida; Malpighiales; Euphorbiaceae.